Pseudopipra pipra is the source of this 1473-nucleotide long non-coding RNA. RefSeq lists it as uncharacterized. Lineage: Eukaryota; Metazoa; Chordata; Aves; Passeriformes; Pipridae. The record is from RefSeq and is a predicted model, not a curated record. The transcript has 4 exons.
AAAGGUUCUUUUGUGUAGGGACAGCUGAAACAAGGCCCUAAGUGGGAGCAGCAUGCAUAAGCCCAUGCAGAUCUCCAGUUACAGGUUACAAAGCAAUGUAUAUCAGGGUCUAUGAGACAUGGAAAUGUCUCACUGAACAAUGACGCUCAAAGCAUCAGUCUCCAUGAAACAGUCUUUCAUAAGGAGGUCUAAAGUUCUACGGAGAGGAAAACAAACUGACAGACAAAAGGAAAAUCCCUGGAGGAUGAACUCAAGCUUCAAGACAGCUUAAGUAUAGAGUUUGAUGUGUGCGAAAGACACAGGAGGGUUUCCGUGGGGGUUCUAAUAAUACUUAAUUGGAAAGAACACACAAAAGUACAUUCUGUCUCUGAAGAAGCUUCUGAUGCUGGGUCUCCAUACUUAGUUACUCAUUGCCACCUGAGGCAAGAUUCUUAGGAAAUUAAUACAACGCUCAGAAGCAAGGAGAAGCUCCAGAUAAGUUUAAGUUGUCAUUGGUUGUUUGUUUUUUUUAAGCAGAAACAACCACAACAAAUGCAGUUUCUCUGAAAAGAGAACAAGUGUUUUCAGCUCAACACAGGAACAACAAAAACACAAAAUGAAACAGUUCCAUGAUGCUAUUUUCAACUUCAUUUAACAGAAAUAAAUCAGGCUGAAAAAUAUGGAAAUUCCUACAGACAAAUCAAACUACCAGAAAUUGUAUCUCUUCAGCCUGUGAAUAUACAAGUAGAAUUAGGUUUUAAGACAUGAACACCAGCACCGGUUCAAGAUGAUACAGGUGAUAUUUUCCACUGUCAAUCAACAUUAAAUCAAUUCCCAGUUUUGCUUUCAAAGAAGCACACUUGGAAUUUGGCUGCUUGCAGUAUUUCAGAUGAGCCAUAAAACAGAAUUCCUGAACACUUGUGCUUACAGAUCACAUUGCACUUCACAGCUGUUGUGUUUUACCCCAGCAGAGGGUGCAUUUAAGCAAGUGGAAAAAAGCAAUUUUCUUUUAAACAUAGCUUCAAGUGCUUAGGGGUCUUUUUGAAUGAAAUGUAAUGCAUACAUAUAUUAUAUUUUAAAUAUAUUAAAUAAUUCAUAACAAGUAAUUAUUAGGCCUACCUGCAAUGUUUAUCUCAUUUUCUUCUAGUUCCUCAUGUGCCACAUUGAACAACAGCAUAAUGCUGCAACUAGCUAGAUGGAGCAGUGAAGUCUGAGGAGUAGACCUAAAUUUCACAACAUUGUGAUAAAUACGAGAUUUAGACUCGGCAGGAAUCCCAGAUGACUAUAAAGGAGAAAGUGACUGCCAUUGAAUGACACCCCUGAGUGCUCUUGGAAUAAAUCCAAUAUUGAGUGUCAAGCACAGAAGAAAAGCAGGAAACAAUGUUGCUUUUACAGUGAAACCAGAUAAUUUAAAGAUAAAUAGAGAAACUAGACCCUAACAUAACUAUCAUAUACUAAAAUCCAAUAAAAAGUUAAUAAAUUUUGGAAAAGCAA